AUUGAACGCUGGCGGAAUGCUUUACACAUGCAAGUCGAGCGGCAGCGCGGGGCAACCUGGCGGCGAGCGGCGAACGGGUGAGCAAUACAUCGGAACAUACCCAGUUGUGGGGGAUAGCCCGGCGAAAGCCGGAUUAAUACCGCAUACGACCUGAGGGUGAAAGGGGGGGAUCGCAAGACCUCUCGCAAUUGGAGUGGCCGAUGGCGGAUUAGCUAGUUGGUGAGGUAAAGGCUCACCAAGGCGACGAUCCGUAGCGGGUCUGAGAGGACGACCAGCAACCCUGGACCUGAGAGACGGUCCAGACUCCUACGGGAGGCAGCAGUGGGGAAUUUUGGACAAUGGGGGCAACCCUGAUCCAGCCAUUCCGCGUGAGUGAAGAAGGCCUUCGGGUUGUAAAGCUCUUUCGGCAGGAACGAAACGGUGGGUCCUAAUACGAUCUGCUAAUGACGGUACCUGAAGAAGAAGCACCGGCUAACUACGUGCCAGCCGCCGCCGUAA
RNAcentral lists this ribosomal RNA (498 nucleotides) under uncultured bacterium. Its description in RNAcentral is "partial 16S ribosomal RNA". It matches the Rfam family "Bacterial small subunit ribosomal RNA", at positions 29 to 523 of the family's 1533-position model. The record is from RNAcentral.